This 661-nucleotide long non-coding RNA is filed under the name Physcomitrium patens. RNAcentral's name for it is "long non-coding RNA (PPAT_LNC002358)". Lineage: Eukaryota; Viridiplantae; Streptophyta; Bryopsida; Funariales; Funariaceae. The record is from RNAcentral.
AAAAUUUCAAAGGAAUUAUGUAAGAAACAUAAAGUAUUCUUAAAGAACCUUUAAAGAAAUCAUAAAAAAAUAAUAUAGAAUUCAAAAGUAUACUAAAAUAGAAAUCUUAAUAAAAUAUUAAAAUAGAAACCUUAAUUAAAUCUUAAAUAAAUUCUAAUAAAAUCUUAAAAAAUCUUAAUUAAAUUUUAAUCAAAUCCUAAAGAAACGUUAAUCAAAUUCUUAUCAAAUCCUAAAAAAAUCCUAAACAAAUCCUAAUCAAAUCCUAAAUAAAUCCUAGUUAAAUCCUAAAUAAAUCCUAUCAAACUCUAACAAAUCUUAAUCAAAUCUUGAGCAAAUCCUAAUCAAAUCUUGAACAAAUUCUAAACAAAUCUUCACCAAAUUCUAAUCAAAUCUUAAACAAAUCUUAACCAAAUCCUAAUCAAAUUCUAAAUAAAUCUUAAUGAAAUCCUAAUCAAAUCCUAAAAUAAUCCUAAAAAAAUCCUAAUUAAAUCCUAAACAAAUCCUAGUCAAAUCCUAAACUAACCUUAACCAAAACCUAAUCAAAUCUUAAACUAACUUUAACCAAAUCCUAAUCAAAUCUUUAUCAAACUUUAAACAAAUCUUAACCAAACCCUGGUCAAAUCCUAAAAAAACCUUAACCAAAUCCUAGUCAAAUCCUAAA